AUUAUACAUAAUAUAUUUACAUAUAUAUACACUCCUUUUCUAAAAGGAUAUGAAAAACCUCUGGUUAACUACAUGUCCACAUUUAGUUUGUAACUUUUUCAGCUGAAGACGGAAGUUGUUUCUAUUACAGUUCUAGACAGAAAAAAAAAUUCAAGUGAAAAUGAAUCUAUCAUUUAUAUUUGGUUCCUAUCAAUUCUCUGCGAUGUCUGACAUUUUUCUUUAACGACCAUGUAGUUAAGCAUACUUCAGGAUGCAGUACGUGGGAACGUAGUAAUUAGACUUCCUCCUCAGUCAGAGCUGCCAAUGUAUGUGGACUGCAUCACUCCUUGAAAACCAGACCUGCGAUGGAAGAACGUGGAGGGAUCAUUGUAAAAGAGGGAACUGGCUCGGAAUUGAUGGAGUUAAAGGCACAUCCAGUCCUUCUGCUUGCCUGCAAUAUUAACUACUUGAAGAAGAUGAAAGGCUGUGUGGAGCCAGGAGUUGGACUCUAUCCUUACCAAGACUAUUUGCAGUAUUUUUGCACCUUAAGAGUGAGUUUUCCCCAUGGGAACUGGGUUCGUGCACCGGCUAAGGAGAGCAGCACAGUAAAGUGUGCAAAUCGUGAGUUAAUUUUUAUCAGGCUUCUGGGCUCUCUCCUCUACUGACAU
RNAcentral lists this long non-coding RNA (647 nucleotides) under Phasianus colchicus (ring-necked pheasant). RNAcentral's name for it is "lncRNA (ENSPCLG00000022251.1)". Lineage: Eukaryota; Metazoa; Chordata; Aves; Galliformes; Phasianidae. The record is from RNAcentral.